Molecule: non-coding RNA, 297 nt
Organism: Cinara cedri
Lineage: Eukaryota; Metazoa; Arthropoda; Insecta; Hemiptera; Aphididae
Source: the annotation of a GenBank genome assembly
UUAUUUUUUACCCACAUAACAAAAAUGUGUUAAUACCCUAUAGUUAUAAUAAUAUAUAUAUAAAAAAACCUGAACAUACUUUAUCUUGUUUAAAACCAUUCUCGUCAGUUGUCAUCACACAUACCAUUCAACAGAGUGAUCAACCACAUAACGUAAGACACUCAUUGUCUCGGAAUGUAUUAUUACUUUUUUUUUGAAAUUUGUUUUUUAGAACAUCUAAGAAACACACGCAGCUGUAAAAUGCUAUUUUUAGCACCCUUAUUUCAGGGAGUGAAACCGCUAUCCACUUUUGAUUUU